This 691-nucleotide ribosomal RNA is filed under the name uncultured Actinomycetes bacterium. RNAcentral's name for it is "bacterial SSU rRNA". It matches the Rfam family "Bacterial small subunit ribosomal RNA", at positions 727 to 1420 of the family's 1533-position model. The record is from RNAcentral. Lineage: Bacteria; Bacillati; Actinomycetota; Actinomycetes.
CUCUGGGCCAAUACUGACACUGAGGAGCGAAAGCGUGGGGAGCGAACAGGAUUAGAUACCCUGGUAGUCCACGCCGUAAACGGUGGGCGCUAGUUGUGCGAACCUUCCACGGUUUGUGCGACGCAGCUAACGCAUUAAGCGCCCCGCCUGGGGAGUACGAUCGCAAGAUUAAAACUCAAAGGAAUUGACGGGGCCCCGCACAAGCAGCGGAGCAUGCGGCUUAAAUCGACGCAACGCGAAGAACCUUACCAAGGCUUGACAUAUACAGGAAUACGGCAGAGAUGUCGUAGCCGCAAGGUCUGUAUACAGGUGGUGCAUGGUUGUCGUCAGCUCGUGUCGUGAGAUGUUGGGUUAAGUCCCGCAACGAGCGCAACCCUCGUUCUGUGUUGCCAGCAUUUAGUUGGGGACUCACAGGAGACUGCCGGGGUUAACUCGGAGGAAGGUAGGGAUGACGUCAAAUCAUCAUGCCCCUUAUGUCUUGGGCUGCACGCAUGCUACAAUGGCUGGUACAAACGGCUGCAAUACCGCAAGGUGGAGCGAAUCCGAGAAAGCCAGUCUCAGUUCGGAUUGGGGUCUGCAACUCGACCCCAUGAAGUCGGAGUUGCUAGUAAUCGUAGAUCAGCAACGCUACGGUGAAUACGUUCCCGGGGCUUGUACACACCGCCCGUCACAUCACGAAAGUCGGUAACAC